GAUGAACGCUGGCGGCGUGCUUAACACAUGCAAGUCGAACGGAAAGGCCCAAGCUUGCUUGGGUACUCGAGUGGCGAACGGGUGAGUAACACGUGGGUGAUCUGCCCUGCACUUCGGGAUAAGCCUGGGAAACUGGGUCUAAUACCGGAUAGGACGAUGGUUUGGAUGCCAUUGUGGAAAGUUUUUUCGGUGUGGGAUGAGCUCGCGGCCUAUCAGGUUGUUGGUGGGGUAGUGGCCUACCAAGGCGUCGACGGGUAGCCGGCCUGAGAGGGUGUACGGCCACAUUGGGAUUGGGCGACGGCCAAGAGUCCGACGGGAGGCAGCAGGGGGGAAUAUUGCACAAUGGGCGCAAGCCUGAUGCAGGGACGCCGCGGGGGGGAUGACGGCCUUCGGGUUGUAAACUCCUUUCGCUAGGGACGAAGCGUUUUUGUGACGGUACCUGGAGAAGAAGCACCGGCUAACUACGUG
This 468-nucleotide ribosomal RNA is filed under the name uncultured bacterium. RNAcentral describes it as "partial 16S ribosomal RNA". It matches the Rfam family "Bacterial small subunit ribosomal RNA", at positions 28 to 507 of the family's 1533-position model. The record is from RNAcentral.